GGGCUCACUUCGGCAACACAUGCACUAAAAUUGGAAUGAUACAGAGAAGAUUAGCAUGGCCCCCGCACAAAGAUGGCAUGCAAAUGUGUAAAGCAUUCCAUGUUUUA
Cercocebus atys (sooty mangabey) is the source of this 107-nucleotide small nuclear RNA. Lineage: Eukaryota; Metazoa; Chordata; Mammalia; Primates; Cercopithecidae. The record is from Ensembl.